Long non-coding RNA from Rhipicephalus microplus (southern cattle tick), 152 nucleotides. NCBI's taxonomy places the organism in Eukaryota, Metazoa, Arthropoda, Arachnida, Ixodida, Ixodidae. The record is from RefSeq and is a predicted model, not a curated record.
AGGCGAACAAUAGCGUUGCCAGUCCACAGGCUUAUGGUCAGCUGCUAGCCAUCUACCUCCUACAAAAUGAUCUGCCGAAUGCCAAAUUCCCCUGGAAGAGGAUUCCUCAAGAAAUCAAGCAGUCUCACACAGAGCUGAGAAACAUCUGGAAG